AUCAAGGAUUACCGACUACCGUCCUAUCUCUUGCCUCAAUACCAUCUACAAAGUAAUCUCUAGGCUGUUGGUGAGACGUCUGAAACUGAUUCUCCAUGGGUUAAUCGUUCCGAAUCAAACUGCAUUUGUAGAAGGGAGGUUAUUAUUGGAGAAUACGGUCCUGGCUAGUGAAUUGGUAAAUGGUUAUCAUAAGAAUAAAAGUUCUAAGAAGAUUACCCUGAAGGUGGAUAUCGCUAAAGCCUUUGACACUUUAUCUUGGGAUUUUUUACUCUCUGCAUUGGAAAGCUUCAAUCUGCCAUUACCGUUUCUAAACCUCCUCAAAGCCUGUAUCUGCACAACAAGCUUUACAGUGGGUUAUAAUGGGACAGUGAAUGGAUUUUUUAAAGGAAGAAGAGGACUGCGCUAAGGGGACCCACUAUCACCAUACCUCUUUGUGAUUGCAAUGAACUGUCUGUCUCUUAUGUUGAACAGGGAAGCGCGCUCCGGCAAUUUGUCAUAUCAUCACAACUGCCAAAAGACAAAACUAACUCAUCUCUCUUUCGCA
RNAcentral lists this long non-coding RNA (544 nucleotides) under Brassica napus (rape). RNAcentral's name for it is "long non-coding RNA (BNAP_LNC019798)". Lineage: Eukaryota; Viridiplantae; Streptophyta; Magnoliopsida; Brassicales; Brassicaceae. The record is from RNAcentral.